UUGCUAUCAGGGUAGUUUUUACAAUGCACUUUGACCAAUUUGAUUCAAUAUGUUAGCAUAGAUUAUUUGACCAUUUACAAGCCCAAGUCAGGGUAGUAAUUGUUCGACUUGUUCCGAAGAAAUUUUAUAAAUUUUAAUAACACGUGGCCGUGGGAAUCGAAGCCGUUUAAGUGCAUUAGAACCACAAUUAGAAUAUAUUUUAGAACAUAAUUUGUAUUCUUUUUUCUAUAUUACACCAUAAAUUAACUCGAUUUUCAUAAUACUGUACUUCAUCAAGGACAGAAGAACUACUAGGUUAUAUUGACACAAACAUUCGUAUUUCGAGAGGAAGCAAAUGAAAUUAAACAGAGGAAUUAACAAUUUCAAUAUCAAAUAUAUUCAGACAAUGGUAGUCUGAACUCCGAAAGGAAUAUCAACUCAAAGACAUUGUCAUUGAGUUUGUUUAGUACUACAAAAGUUUGCGAAGCAACGAAUCCUUAAUAUUGAUUGGCUAGUAAACUAGGUUUAUUUGCUUUAUUGCCUUCAUAAACAACUGUAUGUCUCAUAUUCAAUGCUCAAUGUCUCAUGUACAGAAAGCCUGAUUUGUCCGCAAGCCGGUAAACACAAAAAGUAACAACUAGAAAGGUUUAUUAAGCAAUCAAUCCCAGCACUUUAGACAGCAAAUUCACUUCAAUAAUUCCUCGAUACAGCUUAUAAAACAUGAAUUCAUACACAGGUAUAAAAUCAACAACACAAUACAGACAAAAGUUCAAUAGUUCAUUACCUGAUAUAUUCUCAAACGCCUGUGCCGUCUUGAUAUGUGAUGGGCCAUUGCUCAAUUUUCGCUGAACAAGUGGCGUUAAGCAAGCUGCUCGCGAAAGAGCACUCCCGCUUAAAACUUUUCUUAAGGAAGGCAACAUUCUUGCUUGGCUGUUCGAAGAGACUAAUCGUUUGAAACCAGUGUUUCCCCCAUUUUAUAGCCUUCAAAAUGAUACCGGAUAUGCGCAUUUGUAAUUUUUUUCGACAUAUUAUGUUGACUGCUAUUUCAAAAUGUUACAUAAAAAAUCUCGCUUAAUAUUACAUUCUAUAUAUUUUCUUGUUCUUUGAAGCGCUGUGUUUAAAUAUAU
Paramuricea clavata is the source of this 1106-nucleotide non-coding RNA. Lineage: Eukaryota; Metazoa; Cnidaria; Anthozoa; Malacalcyonacea; Plexauridae. The record is from the annotation of a GenBank genome assembly.